CUCUGAAUGCACAGAGCAAUGCAACAGUGAUAUCUGCUUUGGCAGAUUAUAGGGUUGGAAUUAAUAGCACCUAUAGAACUUUCCAUUCACCUUCUUAUGGGAGGACAUGACGGGAGAAGACUCCUCUCUCAUGUGCCAAGGAGAUGGCUGCACAUUUCGCGCUCGUGCUGGUAAGACUGCCUUGCAGCUUGCAGCCUUGUUUUAAAAGCAGGAUGACACCCAGAGGAAUGUUGUUCAUGGCGGAAGAGAGAACAAGGUUCAAAGGAAAGAGAAGACAAAGGUAGCUGAAGCACAGAUUGCAGCAGUUUUGGAAUUACUUCUGCAGUGAUUCUUGGAGACUUAUGGCCUCACAAUGAGUCUGCGUUUGCCAGUGAAGAAGCCCAGCAACAGAUUUUCCAAGAUAUAUCGGGACAAGCUAACAAAGAAACUAGGGAAGAGAGAGUACAUG
This 448-nucleotide long non-coding RNA is filed under the name Struthio camelus australis. RNAcentral describes it as "lncRNA (ENSSCUG00000017552.1)". The record is from RNAcentral. Lineage: Eukaryota; Metazoa; Chordata; Aves; Struthioniformes; Struthionidae.